CCCCUCUUCUGCUUCGAGGAGACCCACGCUCCUCUCCCUGGCCGCACGGAGACCCACGCUCCUCUCCCUGGCCGCACAGAGACCCACGCUCCUCUUCCUGGCCUUACAGGGGACUUCGCUCUGCCUUCCAGUUCAGCUGGGGACGUCGCUCCGCUUUCAGGCGCCGAUGAGGACGUCGCCCUGCUUCCCUGCUCCGCCGAGUACAACGCUCUGCCUUCCUGCUCCGCCGAGGACGUCGCUCUGCCUUCAUGUUCUGACGAGGACGUCGCCCUGCUUCCCUGCUCCACCAAGUACAGUGCUAUGUUUCCCUGCUCCGCCGAGUACAGUGCUCUGUUUCCCUGCUCCGCCGAGGACAUCGCUCUACCCUCAUGCCCAGCCGAGGUCGUCGCUCUGCCCUCAUGCCCAGCCGAGCUCAUCGCUCAGCCCCCCUGUCCAGCUGAGGUCAUCGCUCUGCUUCCCUACGCUGCUAAGAACACCGUGCAGUUUCAUGACUCUGCUCGGGACAUUCAGCCCAGGGGGCCGGGGUCGCCAAUGAAGUGGGAUGACUCAUGGCACUCCGGGAGGAGUGCCCUUGGAGGGGGGUUCUGUCACGAUUCCCCCUUGAAGCAGUCUGCUUUAAGCGCAAAUGCGCGAGCACCUGCUUUUCCGCUGUCGACCUUAGUGACAUUGGGACACGUGGAUUUUGUUUAUGUUUGUCAUGUCUCCUCCCUGUUCCGUCAUUGGCUGGGAAGUCACGUGUGUCCGGAUUACCCUCAGCUGUUAGCAGUUGUGAGGGUAAUCAUGUCCACAUAUAUACCGCGCGCUUCCCAGCACACAACGCGGAAGAUUAAGUAGUAAGUAAUAAGAAGUGAAUGUUUAGCGUUAGUGUAGUUCGUGUCAGUCAUAG
Ictalurus punctatus (channel catfish) is the source of this 886-nucleotide long non-coding RNA. The record is from Ensembl. Lineage: Eukaryota; Metazoa; Chordata; Actinopteri; Siluriformes; Ictaluridae.